AUUCUGGUUGAUCCUGCCAGUAGUUAUAUGCUUGUCUCAAAGAUUAAGCCAUGCAUGUCUAAGUACAAACGAAAAUAAAGUGAAACCGCAAAAGGCUCAUUAUAUCAGUUAUGGUUUCUUAGAUCGUAUCCACAAUUACUUGGAUAACUGUGGUAAUUCUAGAGCUAAUACAUGCAUUUAAAGAGAAACCGGUAAAACGGGUUCUCUGCUUUUAUUAGAUUUAAACCAAUGGGGAGCGUUUCGGCGUUCUCACAUUUAAACUG
Molecule: non-coding RNA, 263 nt
Filed under: Nicotiana sylvestris (wood tobacco)
Lineage: Eukaryota; Viridiplantae; Streptophyta; Magnoliopsida; Solanales; Solanaceae
Description: Eukaryotic small subunit ribosomal RNA
Rfam family: Eukaryotic small subunit ribosomal RNA
Source: Rfam by way of RNAcentral